This 526-nucleotide ribosomal RNA is filed under the name uncultured bacterium. Its description in RNAcentral is "bacterial SSU rRNA". It matches the Rfam family "Bacterial small subunit ribosomal RNA", at positions 772 to 1297 of the family's 1533-position model. The record is from RNAcentral.
ACUGAAUAGAUACCCAGGUAGUCUUGGCCCUAAACUAUGCUCACUAGGUGUCGGGGGGUAACCCUCGGUGCCGCAGCUAAACGCAUUAAGUGAGCCGCCUGGGGACUACGGCCGCAAGGUUGAAACUCAAAGGAAUUGGCGGGGGCCCGCACAAGCGGUGGAGCAUGUGGCAUAAUUCGAUGCAACGCGAAGAACCUUACCAGGGCUUGACAUGUAGCUGCAAGCUCCCGAAAAGGAGUCGCCUUUGAGGGUGCUACACAGGUGGUGCAUGGCUGUCGUCAGCUCGUGUUGUGAAACUGUUGGGUUAAGUCCCGCAACGAGCGCAACCCUCAUGUUCUGUUGCCAGCACGUCAAGGUGGGAACUCGGAACAAACCUGCCUCUGUAAGGAGGAGGAAGGUUGGGGAUGACGUCAAGUCAUCAUGCCCCGUUACGCCCUGGGCUGCACACAUGCUACAAUGGCCGAUACAAAGGGUAAGCGACACUGCGAAGUGGAGCCAAUCUCAAAAACGUCGGUCUCAGUGCGGA